RNAcentral lists this ribosomal RNA (587 nucleotides) under uncultured fungus. RNAcentral's name for it is "eukaryotic LSU rRNA". The stretch from base 215 to 368 matches the Rfam family "5.8S ribosomal RNA". The record is from RNAcentral. Lineage: Eukaryota; Fungi.
CGUAACAAGGUCUCCGUAGGUGAACCUGCGGAGGGAUCAUUACACAACAAAAUAUGAAGGUCUGGCUUCGCGGCCGGCUGAAAUAUUUUUUUCACCCAUGUCUUUUGCGCACUUGUUGUUUCCUGGGCGGGUUCGCCCGCCACCAGGACCAAACCAUAAACCUUUUUUUUAUGCAGUUGCAAUCAGCGUCAGUAAAAACAAUGUAAUUAAUUACAACUUUCAACAACGGAUCUCUUGGUUCUGGCAUCGAUGAAGAACGCAGCGAAAUGCGAUACGUAGUGUGAAUUGCAGAAUUCAGUGAAUCAUCGAAUCUUUGAACGCACAUUGCGCCCUUUGGUAUUCCAAAGGGCAUGCCUGUUCGAGCGUCAUUUGUACCUUCAAGCUUUGCUUGGUGUUGGGCGUUUUUGUCUCCCUCUUUCUGGGAGACUCGCCUUAAAACGAUUGGCAGCCGGCCUACUGGUUUCGGAGCGCAGCACAUAAUUUGCGCUUUGUAUCAGGAGAAAAGGACGGUAAUCCAUCAAGACUCUACAUUUUUAACUUUUGACCUCGGAUCAGGUAGGGAUACCCGCUGAAACUUAAGCAUAUCA